Molecule: ribosomal RNA, 253 nt
Filed under: uncultured bacterium
Lineage: Bacteria
Description: partial 16S ribosomal RNA
Rfam family: Bacterial small subunit ribosomal RNA
Source: RNAcentral
UACAGAGGUCUCAAGCGUUGUUCGGAUUCAUUGGGCGUAAAGGGUGUGUAGGUGGCGCCGUAAGUCGGGUGUGAAAUUUCGGAGCUUAACUCCGAAACUGCAUUCGAUACUGCGGUGCUUGAGGGAGGUAGGGGUCUUUGGAACUUCUGGUGGAGCGGUGAAAUGCGUUGAUAUCAGAAGGAACGCCGGUGGCGAAAGCGAAGGACUGGACCUCUUCUGACGCUGAGGCGCGAAAGCUAGGGGAGCAAACGGG